RNAcentral lists this ribosomal RNA (402 nucleotides) under uncultured bacterium. RNAcentral's name for it is "partial 16S ribosomal RNA". It matches the Rfam family "Bacterial small subunit ribosomal RNA", at positions 29 to 526 of the family's 1533-position model. The record is from RNAcentral.
AUUGAACGCUGGCGGCAGGCCUAACACAUGCAAGUCGAGCGAGCGGCGGACGGGUGAGUAAUGUAUGGGGACUGCCCGAUCGAGUGGGAUAACUCCUGGAAACGGUAGCUAAUACCGCAUACUAUCGGAUAACCCAUAUGGGAUUAGCUAGUAGGUGAGGUAAUGGCCCACCUAGGCGACGAUCCCUAGCUGGUCUGCGAGGAUGAUCAGCGACACGGGGACGGAGAAACGACCCAGAAUCCGACGGAGGCAGAAGUGGGGAAUAGUGCACAAUGGGCGCAAGCCUGAAGCAGCCAUGCCGGGUGUAUGAAGAAGGCCCUAGGGUUGUAAAGUACUUUCAGUCGGGAGGCGUUACCGACAGAAGAAGCACCGGCUAACUCCGUGCCAGCAGCGCGGUAAUAC